GUUCCUGUAGCGGAGUGGUUACCGCGUGACUCUUAUAAUGUCAAGGUCCGGGGUUCGACCCCCCGCAGGAACA
This 73-nucleotide transfer RNA is filed under the name Beauveria bassiana. RNAcentral's name for it is "tRNA-Ile". It matches the Rfam family "tRNA". Rfam says of the family: Transfer RNA (tRNA) molecules are approximately 80 nucleotides in length. Their secondary structure includes four short double-helical elements and three loops (D, anti-codon, and T loops). RNAcentral also lists the same sequence under 1 other name. Lineage: Eukaryota; Fungi; Ascomycota; Sordariomycetes; Hypocreales; Cordycipitaceae. The record is from RNAcentral.